UAAGACGAACCAUGCAAACGUUAUUCGGAAUCACUGGGCUUAAAGCGUGCGUAGGCGGUUCAGAAAGUUGGGUGUGAAAUGCCUCGGCUCAACCGAGGAAUUGCGCCCAAAACUACUGGGCUUGAGGGAGUUAGAGGUGAGCGGAACUCACGGUGGAGCGGUGAAAUGCGUUGAUAUCGUGAGGAACACCGGAGGCGAAAGCGGCUCACUGGGGCUUCACUGACGCUGAGGCACGAAAGCUAGGGGAGCAAACGGGAUUAGAUACCCCGGUAGUCCUAGCCGUAAACGAUGAGCACUGGGUCGAGGGGACCUCCACAUCCCCCCGGCCGUAGCGAAAGCGUUAAGUGCUCCGCCUGGGGAGUAUGGUCGCAAGGCUG
RNAcentral lists this ribosomal RNA (377 nucleotides) under uncultured bacterium. Its description in RNAcentral is "bacterial SSU rRNA". It matches the Rfam family "Bacterial small subunit ribosomal RNA", at positions 521 to 896 of the family's 1533-position model. The record is from RNAcentral.